UUUAAACCUCCCUCAAAUAAUACACAAAAUGUAGGAGAAAUACCAAGACCCUGUUGGAAAUAAAAGUCAGAGCUUUGUCACAGAAGAGCAGUUAGGAAGAGGAAGGACUUGCUUACCAGUACAGCUCCCAGAGACACAUUGAGAAACCCCUGGCCUCUCACAUCUAGACGUCAGAAAUCAGAAACAUCUCUGGCCCUCACCUCUUAGAGAGCUUCAUGCUGACCACCCUUCAUCACCCUAAUUUGCCCUUUAGUGUCUCUGACCAUGUUGGGAUUGCCAACAUGCACGUUAGGCUUAGUUACAGGCACACUCAGAAAAAUGUAAUGAUAAGGCUCACGCCCUCUGCUCUGUGACUGAGAUGAGCUGAGUUUGGGGCACAUGAUGGGAGAAAGUGAUUUGGAAAUAUGACUUAUGACUGAAUAAGUCAGAGGAAUGGAUGUAAUGUAAUAUAUAACUGAUUAAAGUUGGAGUUCACUUUGUUGUGAGCUACAAAAAUGGAGCCACUCCUAUGGUCUUCUGAGAGAACCACAAGUGUAACAGAAAGAGAGUUCAAAAGUGAAUCCAUCAAGGAACUGCUUAAUUCUUAGUUUUGCUGCUCUAGAAAUAUAAUCAGUGAAUGUCCACAAAAUUUUUGUGAAAAAACAUUGAUUGGCACCCAACAACUUGAACUUUCGAUUAAUAAGACUAGUGACCUUUUUGUUUUGUUUUGUUGACCGUCACACAUGCCUUCUGAGCCUUAUAUUUGUCUUUUUUUUUCAGCUCCCCUUUACAAUCAGUUUUUCCCACUUUAUAAAAUGCAGUAGAUAUGAAGAUCGACUGCCCAGCCAUCCCUCAACAAAGGACUUGCUGCCUGUAGUGGGGUAAAUGAUGACCCCAAAAAGAUACAUCCA
This 890-nucleotide long non-coding RNA is filed under the name Homo sapiens (human). RNAcentral's name for it is "HSALNT0163403". Lineage: Eukaryota; Metazoa; Chordata; Mammalia; Primates; Hominidae. The record is from RNAcentral.